GAUAUCGCACAAUGGGGGAAACCCUGAUGCAGCGACGCCGCGUGAGCGAAGAAGGCCUUCGGGUCGUAAAGCUCUGUUUCGAGGGAAGAAAAUGACGGUACCUCGGGAGAAAGCCCCGGCUAACUACGUGCCAGCAGCCGCGGUAAUACGUAGGGGGCAAGCGUUAUCCGGAAUCAUUGGGCGUAAAGGGUGCGUAGGUGGUCAAUAAAGUCAGAGGUGAAAGGCUAGGGCUCAACCGUAGUAAGCCUUUGAAACUUAUUGACUUGAGUGCAGGAGAGGUGAGUGGAAUUCCUAGUGUAGCGGUGAAAUGCGUAGAUAUUAGGAGGAACACCAGUGGCGAAGGCGACUCUCUGGACUGUAACUGACGCUGAGGCACGAAAGCGUGGGUAGCGAACA
RNAcentral lists this ribosomal RNA (396 nucleotides) under uncultured bacterium. RNAcentral describes it as "partial 16S ribosomal RNA". It matches the Rfam family "Bacterial small subunit ribosomal RNA", at positions 359 to 774 of the family's 1533-position model. The record is from RNAcentral.